UACGUAGGGGGCGAGCGUUGUCCGGAUUUACUGGGCGUAAAGCGCGUGUAGGCGGAAGCUUAAGCGCGGCCUGAAAGCCCCCGGCUCAACCGGGGAGAGUGGUCGCGAACUGGGCUUCUUGAGGGCGACAGAGGAGGGUGGAAUUCCUGGUGUAGCGGUGAAAUGCGUAGAGAUCAGGAGGAACACCGGUGGCGAAGGCGGCCCUCUGGGUCGGCCCUGACGCUGAGACGCGAAAGCGUGGGGAGCGAACGGG
This 253-nucleotide ribosomal RNA is filed under the name uncultured bacterium. RNAcentral's name for it is "partial 16S ribosomal RNA". It matches the Rfam family "Bacterial small subunit ribosomal RNA", at positions 524 to 776 of the family's 1533-position model. The record is from RNAcentral.